This 3581-nucleotide long non-coding RNA is filed under the name Equus caballus (horse). Its description in RNAcentral is "lncRNA (ENSECAG00000042540.2)". Lineage: Eukaryota; Metazoa; Chordata; Mammalia; Perissodactyla; Equidae. The record is from RNAcentral.
UUGUAGGCCAGUUGGUGGCGGAGGGGCUGUGGUCCAAUCGGCUGCCCUCCUCUCACCUCCCCCCCUCAGGAGCCCCUGUGACACGGCCACAGUUCCAUGAUGAGAGCAUGGGGUUCUAAUCUCCAAGUCACUCCCAGUGCUCAGUUGCCUGAGAGUAGGACUGUAUUUGAGAUAUGGAAACUCCUAUCUUAUAUCUAAAAAGCAUUGUUGCUACCUGGUUGAGCUCCAGUUCUGCUUCCUGGGUGAUUGGUACCAUCCUCCGCAUCCUGUAUGGACUGGGGCUCUUCCUCCUGUUCUUUCCCUCCCCCAAAAGGAAUCUGCCCUUACAACUAACUUACAAAAGGAGAAACGUCAGGAAGGUAAGAAAUCCUGGACCGAGACCCACCAGAAGAUGAGUCUCUCUUCUUUUUCACUGUGAUUUCCACUUCUCUGAAUCAACUAGAGGGACUCCAGGGAUGGGAAAGAAUAGAACAUCAUCCUUCUAGAGACAAGCCAGGUUGGGUGGGCAGGGGUGAGAGUGGGCACAAGGAUUUCGAUCCAAAGCUCUCCAAGCAGGAGUCCCGGUGUGGUAGAGGGCUCCAGGGAAAGUCCCCAGGCCAGUGACCAGUGGCCAUGGACGGGAUGCUGAGUGGGAUCUGUGGGAAGACAGGCCCUGAGCACUGGUUCCCCAGCCACCUUCCCGGGGCAGGUGUCUCAGGCGGGCCUUUUCUCUGUCGUGGUUGAUCUGAGGGCAGAGCUGAGCCCCCGAGAGCCUCUGGGCAGGACCUGGAGUCGGGCUGUAGCCUCAGGAAGCAAAGUCCUCCCUGAGAAAGCUCACAAGAUUCUGUACAUCUGAGAAUGUGUGCGUUUCUUGAGCAGAGGAACAGUGACAGAAGAUGCAUGCUGGUCCCACAUGGGGACCUUCUUACGAUCCUCAAAGAAGGAAGACAGCAAAUGUCCAUUUUGUGUUCAAUUAUCCACUUCAAACGUCAAGUGGAGCCGAGAGGGAGGAGCAGCAGGAGCAGGAAGAAAAGGGGAGCUUGCAAAGCUUGCAGAGCUGGCCGGAAGGACCUGGCAGAAGUGGGGGGCCUGAUGUCCCUUUCGCAAAGCUCCCCAGGGAGGCUGUCUUGUAAGGGAUGCUUCCAUCGCUUGUCAUCUCAAGACUCCCCUGGGGAGGCAUGCAAGACAGCAUCUGCUAGAGUCCGCCAGCCAUGCGGGAAGCCUGUGGAAGGUGCUCCUCUCACCAUGACCCCAGCACUUUCCCUGGCUCUUCUCACCCAGCGUACUCUACCUUUGGCCUCCACUCUGCCAGCAGAACCUCCAUCGGCCUUGACCAGAACUCCACUAGGCCCUGUUGCCACGAGCUCAGCUCCAGGUCACUCCUGUUGGCCAUUUCCCAACUCAGGCCACGGCCGCGUGAGCUGUCGCAUUGAGUUCCUCUCCAGGUGGAACAUAAUCAAGGUCUUGCUCUUCCCUGUGUCAUCACACUUCGAGUCCCAGCAAGGGCACCUGUCCUGCCACUGACCAGUGGCCUCAUUCUGGGGAGGCCCCACAAAUAGGGAGGGAGAGACUGAUAGCCCCUCAGUUGCCAACCCUGAUGUCCAGAAGCUGCUCGAGACAGAAAUCACGGAAAGAAUACAAACGGAGGUCUGGGAAAAAGAACAAGAUGAUCCACACACUCCUCAGAUGCUCGAAGCACACACUAUCAUGUCUGGGCUGAAUUCACGCUGGGGCCUACCCCUCCUGUCUUUGGGGCCUGCAGAUCUGAAAGCAUGUGAGGCUCAACACUCGGCCCUUCCACGGUCCCCUUUUCCCCCCGCAGCCACCUGUGAUUCUGGGGCCCCCUCGAAAGCUGACUUUGCACACUUCAUGGGAAAACCUCUUGAGCCUCCUCCAGGUGACAAAGUCUUAACUUUGACAACAAAAGCAUCAGUUCCCAGCCUGGCCCAUCCCCUCCCUGCUCCCUCACCUGUGUGUGAGGAAAAUCAGAAGGCCCUGGGAGGGACCCUACCUGGCGAUGGCAGUGGGCCCUCAGAAGCCUCUCUCUUGGGACAGGAGGGCUGGCCGCCUUCUCCAACCUUCCCAUUCAGCCUCUCAGAGAGAAAAGGGCAGAGUGGGACCUUCGUGGGGGCCGAGCAAGGCCGUUGAGAGCUGACUUCAGGGUCAGCAGUGGCCAGGAAUGAGCCUCGGGAGGAGAGUAGGGGUGGGGCCUCACCAGAGCCCUGCCAUGGGGUGGCAACUCUGGAGGGGGAGUCAGGGUCCCAGUCUUGGAGCCAGGUCGGGGGAAUAGGAGACACCCUAGGGACCAAACCCCUCAAGCCCCUGCCUGAAAAGGAAGAGGUUUUUCAUGACAGCCCUUUCAGAAAAAUGUUGAGACGCCUCCUGCCCUGCCUGAGGCCCAACAAGGAUGAAGCACCAGAGGAUCCCCUUGCAAAGGCAAGCCCGCAUCAGCCACCGCUCAGAGCCGGGCACGGGUCACACACAGCUCGGCGUUGGAUGGCAGGGCUGUUCAGGAACCAUCGACAGUGACAUCCUUUGCAUCCUGGGAGAGAAACUGAGGCUUGCCGAGAACUUUUGGCCUCCCAGUUGAAGCAUCAUAAAAACCAUUUCAGGCCUGGGAAGCUGGACAUACCUGUUACCACGACGUUCCCUCCUCCCCAGAGCAGAGAAGAACAAUGACAGAGGACAGUCCCCAACCUACCUCCAGGAACCACAACUGUCCGACUACGAGGGAAUGGAUCAGAAUAGGCAUGGCAACUGGACCUUGCCAUCCAGGCAGCCGCGGUCCCCAGCCAAACCCUGCCAGCCUGUGCUAAGGGUGGCAGCUGCCUCAGCCAAUCCAUUACCCGCCAUGCUGUCCUCAGAUAUGUGUCUCCUGGGAUGAGUAGACUGUGUCUGACACACCUUUCCUCAUAGGAACGCUUAUCUCCCCAAAUGGGGAAGUGGAGGAACAGAAAACCUGGUUUUUCUCCUUAUCCCACCCUCUGUGCUAACGGUGUCUUCCUACCCCAGUUUUCCCCAAAUACGCUUUUUUUCUCCUUAGAGGUUGUGGCUUCUGUUUGUGCCCUGCUAGUGGCAAAAACGGGGUCAGGCUCCGCCCUUCCUGAGUGUCUGCUUUGGCUUCCAGAAGAGACAGGGCCAUGGGGGGAGGCUGACUGCAGAGUGGCUCACCUGACCUCUCCCCAACUCCCCCAUUGCACCUGAAGUUCCCAUCACACCGUCCUUACAAAAACAAAUGGAAGCUUUGGGCUAUUUGCAGAUGAGCAAAACCUCUAAGGCCCCAGCCCAGGAUGGGCCCCGUCUGUCCUCUCCUGCAUUCUCUGGCCCUUGAACUUGUGGGGCUGUAGGGAGGGGGUUUGCAGAGGAUCCAGGAAGUGUAGAGACAGGUUCACAGGUCACAGAGUGGGAAGGGGAGUGUGGGGCAGUGCUGGCCCUGAGUCCGGGGGGCGAGGAAGCUUGCCCUGCACCCCAAGCUCUUGGUGGGAAUAGAUGACGCUGCCCCGGGAGCUUCUUCUCUCCCUGAUGAAGCUGCCAUGGAGAUGGGCCUGCGCAUCCCUCUUGGCCCAGCGUCACCGUCCCUCUGUCCUUGUCACAGUCUGGAG